Molecule: unclassified non-coding RNA, 326 nt
Filed under: Hevea brasiliensis (rubber tree)
Lineage: Eukaryota; Viridiplantae; Streptophyta; Magnoliopsida; Malpighiales; Euphorbiaceae
Source: RNAcentral
ACGAUCCAAGAAGCGAUGAAGCCACCGGCUCCGGUGACGCAGACGGUUUGGCCAUGGCCAGAGAGUGAUGAGGUAUCAACAGGCAUGGUAGUUAUAGAGAAGUCGUGUUUGGUUGUUGAGAGGGAAGGAGCAGAAGACAAGUGUAUUGUUUAUAAUGGAAGGAGGGCGCAAGCAAAGCAAGUGCCUGUGUUUGUAAUUUAUAAGGAAAAGAGCUUGCCGCACUCCACCUACCCCGGCUUGGUGUACCUGUAGGGAGAGAUAAAAGAGUGGAGGGAGAUUAAUUUAUGUAUUUCUUCAAUUAAUAUUCUAUUAUUGCCAAAAUAUAA